GCCCCACAUUUUCACAAUCCCUAUAAUCUACAUAUUAUAAAAACAAUAAACAAAACAAACUAAAUAGUACAGAAAUGGAAAUCCUAAUAAAUAUAAGUAAGUAUUAACAACUGUACCUUGUGCAUUAUGGUUUUACAAGAAAAUCUUUAACUAAAUAAAUCCCGAAUUCUUCAUGAGAUGUUAAUAUACCGUUAAGAACCUAUCAGUAACUGUGGAAAAAGUUUUGAAAGAUAUGUUAACAGAGGCUACAUACCAACCGCAUAAGAAAAUAGCUGGUUCUCAACCAACAUUAUAAAUUAAAGCAUGUAGAAAUUUUACAGUGUUAAAUUAUCGAGGACAAGCCCGAUAAUCAAAGCCAUACAAAUAAAUCUCAAAAUAAUAACAUAGGCUUAGAAUCAGCCAUUAAUAGUGCCUCACCGCAACAAAAAUAGAAAAAAAUAAAUCAAAUAACAUGCUACACAUAAUUGAGAUACGGGCACAACUCUCCUAGGCCCGCUUUAAUAUGUAAAAAUAAGUAUUUAUAAAUAAAAAACAAAAAUCAAGCUAAACCAAAAAAAAUAUAUAACCAAUCACUAACUAAGGAACUCGGCAAACACUUAUUUCGACUGUUUAACAAAAACAUUGCCAUAUGAAUAAAUAUAUAAGGUAAUUUCCUGCCCAGUGACAAAAGUUCAACGGCCGCGGUAUCCUAACCGUGCAAAGGUAGCAUAAUCACUUGCCUAUUAAUUGUAGGCUAGAAUGAACGGAUCAACGAAAUAAAACCUGUCUCAGUUAGCAAACUAAAAAUUAUUCUCCAUACGAAGAAAUAUGGAUAAAAUCGAAGGACAAGAAGACCCUAUAGAGCUUAUUUAAAUCACAGACCCUAUCUAGUGUAAUAAUUCGGUUGGGGCGACCAAGGGAAUAAAUAUCACCCUAAAACACAAAGAUUAAUAAAUCAUAAAAUUGACCCUUAUAAGAUCACAAGAUCAAGCUACCUUAGGGAUAACAGGCUAAUCCCAUUCAAGAGUCCAUAUCAACAAUGGGGUUUGGCACCUCGAUGUUGGCUUAGGUAACUAUGUAGCGCAAAAGCUAUAUUAUGUUGGUUUGUUCAACCAAUAAUUUCCUACAUGAGCUGAGUUCAGACCGGCGUAAGCCAGGUUAGCUUCUAUCCACGAUAUCUACAUCUCCUCCUAGUACGAAAGGACCUGAGUGAGAGUAAUAAUUUACAAAAAUAAAAUUAAUUUACCAUUAAAUCAGUAAUAAAUAAUAUACACUAUA
Molecule: ribosomal RNA, 1257 nt
Filed under: Perionyx excavatus (compost worm)
Lineage: Eukaryota; Metazoa; Annelida; Clitellata; Crassiclitellata; Megascolecidae
Description: large subunit ribosomal RNA
Rfam family: Archaeal large subunit ribosomal RNA (bases 559-1257)
Source: RNAcentral